RNAcentral lists this ribosomal RNA (2913 nucleotides) under Klebsiella pneumoniae. RNAcentral describes it as "bacterial LSU rRNA". It matches the Rfam family "Bacterial large subunit ribosomal RNA". Lineage: Bacteria; Pseudomonadati; Pseudomonadota; Gammaproteobacteria; Enterobacterales; Enterobacteriaceae. The record is from RNAcentral.
GGGUUGUGAGGUUAAGCGACUAAGCGUACACGGUGGAUGCCCUGGCAGUCAGAGGCGAUGAAGGACGUGCUAAUCUGCGAAAAGCGUCGGUAAGGUGAUAUGAACCGUUAUAACCGGCGAUGUCCGAAUGGGGAAACCCAGUGCAAUUCGUUGCACUAUCGUUAACUGAAUACAUAGGUUAACGAGGCGAACCGGGGGAACUGAAACAUCUAAGUACCCCGAGGAAAAGAAAUCAACCGAGAUUCCCCCAGUAGCGGCGAGCGAACGGGGAGCAGCCCAGAGUCUGAAUCAGCUUGUGUGUUAGUGGAACGGUCUGGAAAGUCCGACGGUACAGGGUGAUAGUCCCGUACACCAAAAUGCACAGGCUGUGAACUCGAAGAGUAGGGCGGGACACGUGGUAUCCUGUCUGAAUAUGGGGGGACCAUCCUCCAAGGCUAAAUACUCCUGACUGACCGAUAGUGAACCAGUACCGUGAGGGAAAGGCGAAAAGAACCCCGGCGAGGGGAGUGAAAAAGAACCUGAAACCGUGUACGUACAAGCAGUGGGAGCACCUUCGGGUGUGACUGCGUACCUUUUGUAUAAUGGGUCAGCGACUUAUAUUCUGUAGCAAGGUUAACCGUAUAGGGAGCCGCAGGAAACCGAGUCUUAACUGGGCGUUAAGUUGCAGGGUAUAGACCCGAAACCCGGUGAUUCAGCCAUGGGCAGGUUGAAGGUUGGGUAACACUAACUGGAGGACCGAACCGACUAAUGUUGAAAAAUUAGCGGAUGACUUGUGGCUGGGGGUGAAAGGCCAAUCAAACCGGGAGAUAGCUGGUUCUCCCCGAAAGCUAUUUAGGUAGCGCCUCGUGAACUCAUCUUCGGGGGUAGAGCACUGUUUCGGCUAGGGGGUCAUCCCGACUUACCAACCCGAUGCAAACUACGAAUACCGAAGAAUGUUAUCACGGGAGACACACGGCGGGUGCUAACGUCCGUCGUGAAGGGAAACAACCCAGACCGCCAGCUAAGGUCCCAAAGUCAUGGUUAAGUGGGAAACGAUGUGGGAAGGCACAGACAGCCAGGAUGUUGGCUUAGAAGCAGCCAUCAUUUAAAGAAAGCGUAAUAGCUCACUGGUCGAGUCGGCCUGCGCGGAAGAUGUAACGGGGCUAAACCAUGCACCGAAGCUGCGGCAGCGACACUAUGUGUUGUUGGGUAGGGGAGCGUUCUGUAAGCCUGCGAAGGUGUGCUGUGAGGCAUGCUGGAGGUAUCAGAAGUGCGAAUGCUGACAUAAGUAACGAUAAAGCGGGUGAAAAGCCCGCUCGCCGGAAGACCAAGGGUUCCUGUCCAACGUUAAUCGGGGCAGGGUGAGUCGACCCCUAAGGCGAGGCCGAAAGGCGUAGUCGAUGGGAAACAGGUUAAUAUUCCUGUACUUGGUGUUACUGCGAAGGGGACGGAGAAGGCUAUGUUAGCCGGGCGACGGUUGUCCCGGUUUAAGCAUGUAGGCUGGUUAUCGGGCAAAUCCGGAUAAUCAAGGCUGAGGUGUGAUGACGAGGCACUACGGUGCUGAAGUAACAAAUGCCCUGCUUCCAGGAAAAGCCUCUAAGCAUCAGGUAACAUCAAAUCGUACCCCAAACCGACACAGGUGGUCAGGUAGAGAAUACCAAGGCGCUUGAGAGAACUCGGGUGAAGGAACUAGGCAAAAUGGUGCCGUAACUUCGGGAGAAGGCACGCUGGUGUGUAGGUGAAGUCCCUGCGGAUGGAGCUGAGACCAGUCGAAGAUACCAGCUGGCUGCAACUGUUUAUUAAAAACACAGCACUGUGCAAACACGAAAGUGGACGUAUACGGUGUGACGCCUGCCCGGUGCCGGAAGGUUAAUUGAUGGGGUUAUCCGUAAGGAGAAGCUCUUGAUCGAAGCCCCGGUAAACGGCGGCCGUAACUAUAACGGUCCUAAGGUAGCGAAAUUCCUUGUCGGGUAAGUUCCGACCUGCACGAAUGGCGUAAUGAUGGCCAGGCUGUCUCCACCCGAGACUCAGUGAAAUUGAACUCGCUGUGAAGAUGCAGUGUACCCGCGGCAAGACGGAAAGACCCCGUGAACCUUUACUAUAGCUUGACACUGAACAUUGAGCCUUGAUGUGUAGGAUAGGUGGAGGCUUUGAAGCGUGGACGCCAGUCUGCGUGGAGCCAACCUUGAAAUACCACCCUUUAAUGUUUGAUGUUCUAACGUUGGCCCCUGACCGGGGUUGCGGACAGUGUCUGGUGGGUAGUUUGACUGGGGCGGUCUCCUCCCAAAGCGUAACGGAGGAGCACGAAGGUUAGCUAAUCGGUCGGACAUCAGGAGGUUAGUGCAAUGGCAUAAGCUAGCUUGACUGCGAGCGUGACGGCGCGAGCAGGUGCGAAAGCAGGUCAUAGUGAUCCGGUGGUUCUGAAUGGAAGGGCCAUCGCUCAACGGAUAAAAGGUACUCCGGGGAUAACAGGCUGAUACCGCCCAAGAGUUCAUAUCGACGGCGGUGUUUGGCACCUCGAUGUCGGCUCAUCACAUCCUGGGGCUGAAGUAGGUCCCAAGGGUAUGGCUGUUCGCCAUUUAAAGUGGUACGCGAGCUGGGUUUAGAACGUCGUGAGACAGUUCGGUCCCUAUCUGCCGUGGGCGCUGGAGAAUUGAGGGGGGCUGCUCCUAGUACGAGAGGACCGGAGUGGACGCAUCACUGGUGUUCGGGUUGUCAUGCCAAUGGCACUGCCCGGUAGCUAAAUGCGGAAGAGAUAAGUGCUGAAAGCAUCUAAGCACGAAACUUGCCCCGAGAUGAGUUCUCCCUGAGACUUUAAGUCUCCUGAAGGAACGUUGAAGACGACGACGUUGAUAGGCCGGGUGUGUAAGCGCAGCGAUGCGUUGAGCUAACCGGUACUAAUGAACCGUGAGGCUUAACCUUACAACGCCGAAG